RNAcentral lists this long non-coding RNA (575 nucleotides) under Chloebia gouldiae (Gouldian finch). RNAcentral's name for it is "Erythrura gouldiae (Gouldian finch) lncRNA (ENSEGOG00005006293.1)". Lineage: Eukaryota; Metazoa; Chordata; Aves; Passeriformes; Passeridae. The record is from RNAcentral.
GCAAAUCCUCAGAAGUUUGUUUCCUUUUUUCAGUUCAAACAUGAAUUUAUGAGAAAGACACAUUGUAUGUCCCCCACCUCUGCCUGUCCAGAGCCAUUUAUUUCAAAGCAAGAAGGAUUUUUUGCUCUGAAGUGGAAGUUUAAAAGGAAAUUAUCAGGAUGUUUCUGGUAUCACAUUUCUCAUGGAAAUCAGACACGUGGUCAGGAGUGGGGCACGCUGAACCUGACAGUGCUUGAUAAGGCAGAGGGAUGCUCCAGGGGGAGUAACUGGAGAAGAGGCUUGUCACAGACAUCUCCAGCCAUAUUCCCCUGUGGCCUUGGCUUCCCUUCAGCCUUUACCUCUGCAAAGCAAGUUGGAUUGAAGCCACUGGGACUGGAUGCAUGGAGCUGGCAGUCUUGUGCUGCCCACUGCAGUGAUAGAUACCCAUAAUGUCGAUGAUGGAGAAGAGACCAGCCACUCAUCCUUGCCUUGAAAAGCCUGCUGUUGCCAGACAAGGACCAAGGCUCACACCCCACCUUCUGUGCCAUCAGUAACUUCUCCUGAUGUUAAAAUUGUGUUGUCUCUCUUAAUAAUAA